CCUACGGGUGGCAGCAGUAGGGAAUUUUGCGCAAUGGGGGAAACCCUGACGCAGCAACGCCAUGUGUGGGAUGAAGCAUUUCGGUGUGUAAACCACUGUCGGCAGGGAAUAAAGCCCGCGUUUAUCGCGGGGGUGAAUGUACCUGCAAAGGAAGCCCCGGCUAACUUCGUGCCAGCAGCCGCGGUAAUACGAGGGGGGCAAGUGUUGUUCGGAAUUACUGGGCGUAAAGGGAGCGUAGGCGGGCUCUUAAGUUGGAUGUUUAAAACCGGGGCCCAACCCCGGCGUGGCAUCCAAAACUGGGAGUCUUGAAUGGGACAGAGGCCGGUGGAAUUGGAGGUGUAGCGGUGGAAUGCGUAGAGAUCUCCAAGAACAUCUGUUGCGAAGGCGGCCGGCUGGGUCCACAUUGACGCUGAGGCUCGAAAGCAUGGGGAGCAAACAGGAUUAGAUACCCUAGUAGUC
Molecule: ribosomal RNA, 459 nt
Filed under: uncultured bacterium
Lineage: Bacteria
Description: bacterial SSU rRNA
Rfam family: Bacterial small subunit ribosomal RNA
Source: RNAcentral